Oncorhynchus keta (chum salmon) is the source of this 774-nucleotide long non-coding RNA. RefSeq lists it as uncharacterized. The transcript is spliced from 5 exons. The record is from RefSeq and is a predicted model, not a curated record. Lineage: Eukaryota; Metazoa; Chordata; Actinopteri; Salmoniformes; Salmonidae.
UAAGCUUGACGAACAAGACGAACUGGCACAGACAUAAGUGGGGAAGAUGGGUGACACCUGGAGGGGGGUGGAGACAAGCACAAGGACAGGUGAAACAGAUCAGGGUGUAACACCUGGAGGGGGUGGAGACAAGCACAAGGACAGGUGAAACAGAUCAGGGUGUAACACCUGGAGGGGGUGGAGACAAGCACAAGGACAGGUGAAACAGAUCAGGGUGUAACACCUGGAGGGGGGUGGAGACAAGCACAAGGACAGGUGAAACAGAUCAGGGUGUAACACCUGGAGGGGGUGGAGACAAGCACAAGGACAGGUGAAACAGAUCAGGGUGUAACACCUGGAGGGGGUGGAGACAAGCACAAGGACAGGUGAAACAGAUCAGGGUGUAACACCUGGAGGGGGUGGAGACAAGCACAAGGACAGGUGAAACAGAUCAGGGUGUAACACCUGGAGGGGGUGGAGACAAGCACAAGGACAGGUGAAACAGAUCAGGGUGUAACACCUGGAGGGGGUGGAGACAAGCACAAGGACAGGUGAAACAGAUCAGGGUGUAACACCUGGAGGGGGUGGAGACAAGCACAAGGACAGGUGAAACAGAUCAGGGUGUAACACCUGGAGGGGGUGGAGACAAGCACAAGGACAGGUGAAACAGAUCAGGGUGUAACACCUGGAGGGGGGUGGAGACAAGCACAAGGACAGGUGAAACAGAUCAGGGUGUAACACCUGGAGGGGGUGGAGACAAGCACAAGGACAGGUGAAACAGAUCAGGGUGUAACA